GCCAGCAAUGGUCUCUGUGUAGGUUGCUGCAUGGUUGUCGGUCAGCUCGUGCCGUGAGGUGUCGGCUUAAGUGCCAUAACGAGCGCAACCCUUAUCGUUAGUUGCCAUCGGGUCAUGCCGGGAACUCUAGCGAGACUGCCACCGUAAGGUGUGAGGAAGGUGGGGAUGACGUCAAAUCAGCACGGCCCUUACGUCCGGGGCGACACACGUGUUACAAUGGGGGGUACAGAGGGUUGCUACCAAGCGAUUGGAUGCUAAUCUCUAUAAAGCCUCUCUCAGUUCGGAUCGGAGUCUGCAACUCGACUCCGUGAAGCUGGAUUCGCUAGUAAUCGCGCAUCAGCCAUGGCGCGGUGAAUACGUUCCCGGGCCUU
This 371-nucleotide ribosomal RNA is filed under the name uncultured Paludibacter sp. RNAcentral describes it as "bacterial SSU rRNA". It matches the Rfam family "Bacterial small subunit ribosomal RNA", at positions 1014 to 1382 of the family's 1533-position model. The record is from RNAcentral. Lineage: Bacteria; Pseudomonadati; Bacteroidota; Bacteroidia; Bacteroidales; Paludibacteraceae.